CCUACGGGAGGCAGCAGUGGGGAAUAUUGCACAAUGGGCGGAAGCCUGAUGCAGCGACGCCGCGUGAGGGAUGACGGCCUUCGGGUUGUAAACCUCUUUCAGUAGGGAAGAAGCGAAAGUGACGGUACCUGCAGAAGAAGCGCCGGCUAACUACGUGCCAGCAGCCGCGGUAAUACGUAGGGCGCAAGCGUUAUCCGGAAUUAUUGGGCGUAAAGAGCUCGUAGGCGGUUUGUCGCGUCUGCCGUGAAAGUCCGGGGCUCAACUCCGGAUCUGCGGUGGGUACGGGCAGACUAGAGUGAUGUAGGGGAGACUGGAAUUCCUGGUGUAGCGGUGAAAUGCGCAGAUAUCAGGAGGAACACCGAUGGCGAAGGCAGGUCUCUGGGCAUUAACUGACGCUGAGGAGCGAAAGCAUGGGGAGCGAACAGGAUUAGAUACCCUGGUAGUCCAUGCCGUAAACGUUGGGCACUAGGUGUGGGGGACAUUCCACGUUUUCCGCGCCGUAGCUAACGCAUUAAGUGCCCCGCCGUCGGGAGGUACGGCCGCGAGACGUAAACUUAAAUAGUAAGUAGACGCGUGAGACGUAGACCGAACGGACGACGACGAGGGAGGUAGG
This 613-nucleotide ribosomal RNA is filed under the name uncultured bacterium. Its description in RNAcentral is "bacterial SSU rRNA". The stretch from base 1 to 525 matches the Rfam family "Bacterial small subunit ribosomal RNA", at positions 338 to 873 of the family's 1533-position model. The record is from RNAcentral.